Molecule: long non-coding RNA, 1058 nt
Organism: Boleophthalmus pectinirostris (great blue-spotted mudskipper)
Lineage: Eukaryota; Metazoa; Chordata; Actinopteri; Gobiiformes; Gobiidae
Exons: 3
Source: RefSeq, a predicted model, not a curated record
GCGGUUAUUAAUCUAGCCGAGCCAACGCUAACACACAUGAAACGGCCAAGAAAACGCGCCAGAAUACACCUGUUGGGGGAAUUUUGAGGGGAAACGCAACAUCUCUGGUCAAUAAUGUGCUGACGGUGUGCGUGUCUGUUGUAGAUUCAUUGGAAAUCGCCGGUGUGUGGGUGCUGUCCUACCUGAUGCGGCCGCUGUGUCACUACCCCGGCUCGGACUAGCCUCGCUGCACUGGCCCCUCCGGAGUGAAUGGAGUGUGAACACCUGAUGCCGUCAACAUUUCCUGGGGGUGUGACACUAACCGGAGGCUCUGCUCUGUCUGGAGAUCAGUUAGAUGUUAAUCUGAGCUGAAGAACUGAUUUACCUGAAACUGCAACAGGUGAGCACAUUUCUUAUCAUUUUGAAUUUAUUUUUUCAGCUUUAAAAUGUCGUAUGUUAAAUAUUUAGCAGAUUAUGUCAACAAUCUCUGGGUGUAUGACGGGAACUGAAGGCUCUGCUCUGUCUAAAGCUCAGUACGACUUUACUCAGAGCUGAAACUGCAACAGACAAUCUUGAACGAGUUUGCCAACAUGUGCAUUGUAUCACCCUGGUAACUCCUAAACUUUCCACCAUUAGAGAUACAUGUAGAACACCCCCAGCAUGAUGUAACUGCAAAGUAUCAGUAUGGGCAGUUUGUUGUUGUGAUCUGCAUUUUAAGCAUUGAAUUGUACCACAAACAUGUACCAGACCUCCAUCGAUUUUAGAAACUAACAAAAACGCAAGAUUCUCCAUAUGCGGACCAUUUACAGUACAGCCCCAUCGAAACCAUAUCUAAUACAAAACAUUUACAAGACGCUUUAUUUACAUUUGUACAAAUAUAGAAAUAAAUAAAUCAAAUGAGAACUGUUGGCAAUUUGUUAGAAGAGAACUGUAACUGUAUGUUAAAAAAUGUUGAAAUGUCAAUGGACCUAAUAUAUCAAAUGUCAUGUAUUGCACCAAAAGUAUGAAACCUUUACUUUUUUAAGUAAAUCAAAUGUAUUCUAGCAUUGUCUUUCUGAAAUAAUUGAAUAAAACGGAGA